UUUAUUUGCAGGAAUCGUUAGAUUGAAAUGUUUGAAUUAGGAACCGGUAGCCAAUAAUCCCACAAAGGUCAUUUCUGCAUGCUAUAAAAUGUUGGAAUAAAGAAAGAUGUCAAAAAGGUAUAACAAUAUAUAUAUAUAUUAGCUUAUGUAAGUGUAUCAUUUCUAUAUCUGUAUACCUUAGGUCAAGAAAUCAACUUUUGUAAUUUAUAAUGUCAAAACUUGCAUUUCACUGCCAAUAGAAUAUCAAUUUGUACUCUAGUAUACAUCGAAAUUAAAGCAUAACAACCAUUGCAUAAUUUGAUGCUUUAUGAAAUUUAAAAAUCUCUUCUAUUAAUUUUAAAUUUUAUUUUGCAGGAUAUAUAGGCUCAUAGACAUUACUUGUUGUGGAGGAUUUUGACAUUGGAAGUUGAUAACAACACAUAAAAUGCCACCCAGUUGAUAGCUUUAAGUGAAGACGCACUGAAAAGUGGAGCGUACAUUGUAUGUGAUCGUACAAGAACUGUUGGAAUUUGCAAACUUUUAAACUUUCAUUGUGACAAAUAUCUAUAUCAUAAACUAUCUUCUUAUCACAUUGCUUUUUUGGUUAGGAUACACAUGAUGUAGCAACUAUCUUGUCAUUUACAUGUAGGGGAAGAUCAUUAUUUGUGAUAUAUU
This 654-nucleotide long non-coding RNA is filed under the name Mytilus galloprovincialis (Mediterranean mussel). The record is from RNAcentral. Lineage: Eukaryota; Metazoa; Mollusca; Bivalvia; Mytilida; Mytilidae.